This 91-nucleotide transfer RNA is filed under the name Hypoxylon rubiginosum. Its description in RNAcentral is "tRNA-Asn". It matches the Rfam family "tRNA". From Rfam's summary of the family: Transfer RNA (tRNA) molecules are approximately 80 nucleotides in length. Their secondary structure includes four short double-helical elements and three loops (D, anti-codon, and T loops). The record is from RNAcentral. Lineage: Eukaryota; Fungi; Ascomycota; Sordariomycetes; Xylariales; Hypoxylaceae.
UCCUCGGUGGCGCAAUUGGCUAGCGCGUCUGACUGUUACUACCUAACUAGUAGUCAUCAGGAGGUUGAAAGUUCGAGCCUUUCCCGGGGAG